Molecule: small nucleolar RNA, 94 nt
Filed under: Spinacia oleracea (spinach)
Lineage: Eukaryota; Viridiplantae; Streptophyta; Magnoliopsida; Caryophyllales; Amaranthaceae
Description: Small nucleolar RNA Z103
Rfam family: Small nucleolar RNA Z103
About the family: This family consists of several snoRNA Z103 sequences which are members of the C/D class of snoRNA which contain the C (UGAUGA) and D (CUGA) box motifs. This family seems to be found exclusively in plants.
Source: Rfam by way of RNAcentral
AUGGAAAUGAUGAUUAUUUCCCCAGAUGAUCGAAGCUGAUUAAACUGAGCUAUUUUUUUCUCUUUUGAGAAUCCAAGCCAGAUUUCUGAUCCUC